UUUUUUUUUUUUUGAAUUUUGGGUGCACAAAAGAAAAAAGUAGUAUACGUACAUAGUUUAUUAAUUCAAUCAUAUUUUAUUGAACUAAUUGUUUCUGUAUGAAUGUCAUAGUUAUUUUCCUCCAUUUUCUCCCUUAUUUGGUCUUAAGUUGGAAAAAAAUAAAAUUUAAAAUGGUGAAAGAGAGUGGAAGUGAAGGGAGGGGGUGGGGGUGGAGGGAGAUGUAGAGAGUAGAGGACUAAUUUUUUUUAGUUUUUAAUUUACUGUAGAAUUCAAAAUGAGGUCAAUCAGAUGACUCAUAUAUUAAGUAAUUUCAAAUCAUUUAAAUGAAAAAGAGCAUAAAGUUCCCUUAAAGUAUGAGAUUUGGUACAACAUUGUCCUCCAUCCAUCUUAUGAGUAUAAGUCAUUAGACAUGAGGGUAUUUUUGAGCCAAAAAGCUGAUGUCAGUGGUAUUUGGGGGUCGAAGGUGGUUGGAAGGACGUUUUGUACCAAUUCAAAUAGUUGAGGGGUAUUUUAUGCUUUUCUCCAUUGUUUAUAACAUCCUCUGAAAUCUCUUGUACCCAGUCGGACCCCUCUAGUAAUAACUUGUUGAAAAUUGAAUGAUCUAGAUAAAAGAGUUUUAGACUUCGGGAGCUACUUGAAGAAUACUGAAGGGAUUAAAGUAAACAAAAACAACUUUAAAUAUGCUAUAAUGGCAAGUCAACGGAGUCUUAAGGUUUCAUUAUGGGACAUUGAUUUGCAUCUUAAAGCGGUAAAUCAAGGCAAAUGAGGAAUCAUUACUUCAUUUGUGAAGCCAUGCACUUUAGAUUAGUGUGUACUUGUAUUCCCCGUACCUGCGCAUAGCAGGAGAUUUAGUGCAUUGGGCUUCCCUUCAAAUAAUGAUGAACAAAACAACCCCAACAAUAGUCGGUCAAUUUACUAUGAGGGGUUGUAUUAAAAUCAACUUUAUUAUAGCAUUAAAUCCUUACACGUUUGGUAUUUUUUCCUAUAACUUGUGUGCGUUUCUUCAACUAAGUGUGCACUUCAAUUCUCAAUAUUUUCUUCAAGACCAUAGAUCUUGUUUCAUUAUUUAUUUUUUUGUUGGUUUCGAAAACAUUGUAAACUAAUAGUAUAAGUUUGCUUGAUGGUGUUAUCACUACAUCAACAAUGAUUAAAGUAGGUCAAUUAUCCUAAUGUUUUCAUAUGGAGGGAUUCAUGCUCAAAUCACCUUGAUCUAGGUAACGAUCAAGUUUUUCCUCUUUAAGUGGAGUAUAUUAUUUUCUCUUUGUGCUAAAGAAUUCUUGGUCUUCUCCAAUAAGGAGAGGCGGUGAGAAUAAUUUAUAAGAUUUAACACAAAUAUUAUGUGUUGGUCUUUGUUUUCUGAGUUUGAAUAUGGAUGAGAUAAGAGGUGUGAAGGAACUGAAAGGUAAUUGCGCUAACAAUCUUUUCCCAUUUACCAAUCAGGAAAUCAGUGAUGAUGUUUCCCCCCUUCAUCAUGUGAAUAAAAUAUUGCAAUGCAAAAAUUUCCUUAACCUACUCUUGUGGUUGUCUUUACCUCAAGAGACUACAAAAAUAAAUUACUUGUUAGAGAAAAUCACUACAAGAAAAGCAGGCACAAUCCCUUUCCGUUGUUAUCAUUUUGACAUUUAGAAGGGGAGCCUUGAAACAACUGUAAAGUUCUCUCGGUGGAAUCAACCUAAAAUGUUUGCAUCAAGAUAGGGUGUCUUCGACAGAAAUGCAAGAUGCUUCAUGCACCAUGCUACCCUUAUCAUUUUGAUGCUAAAUCUGUAGAUUUGAUUGAAUACACUCCUCGUUAAUCUAAUAAUAACUUACAAACGAAAUAAUAUAAGCCUACUAAUGGACUUUUGGAGUGUAUUUAGCAAAAGCUUAACUAUCAUUAGUAUAAUGCUACUUGAUGCAUCAACGACCAAGGCCGCUAAUAUGAAUAUCAAAAAUGUUGCUCGUGACCUUAGCCUUCUCUUGAAUCACUAAUACAUAAAGCCAUCAACGUUAAUUUGUCUCACUAUAGAAACCUAAACCCUCUAUGCCUCAUCCAAAUGUAUUAGUGUCUUAAUAAUCACCAUCAAAACACUUCACUUUAAGGAUGCUUACAUAACACCCUACUCAAACUCCACUUAUUGGCUUACACUGGGUUUGAUGGGAAUAUUGUUUGCAUUUUAACUUGCGCAUUAUACUGAUUUUGUUAUUCUUACCACUUGUAGGUUGAUCUCUGUGUUGAUAAAAAAAAUAUGCAACAGACUAUUUAUAAUAGAGAGAAAGAAAAAACAUAGUACAUUAUUCCACUCAUGACCAAGUACUCAUGAGUAGAGCUUGGAUUGCAAAAGAAGUUUAAUGCUUAGAAUGAUCAGAAGUAACAAAAUGUGUAUGUCUUUCCUCACAUACAUGUACUUUAUAAAAGCUAUCGAAUUAUAAGAUUUGUCAAGGUAUCGCCUUCAAUUUUUCAUGACAAGAGAAAAAUCAGGAAAUCACGGGAUGUUUAUUUAAUCAGGGAGUUUGCUGCUUACCAAAGGUGGAAGAGCCUGACAGGAAGAUUAGAAAAAAAAUCUUAUAUGAGUUUCCAUUACAACAGAUCUUGUAUACACCAUAUAAAUACACAUACAACAAUGAACUCAUUUUACUUAAGAUCUUAAAGCAAGCAUGUUAAGUCAACAUAUAAGAGUAGAAACAACUUAAGUGAGCUCACAUGUGUUAUAUAUCAAGACCAAAGACAAGAGAUUCAGAAGGGUCUUGCACCUGAAGCAGUCUUUUCAGGGAUAUUGACAAUUGGUUCCAUCUGCAUAGUUUGUUCAACUGUCAGUUAUGUCGCAACAUUAAAAGAAGAUAUUGUUGUCUCAUAAAUGUAAACAUACUUUGGCCUCCCUCUGUUGAGGCAUAUUUGGAAUCUGCUCAAUUUGGUGGCUGUAGGACAUAUGAACAUAAAAAAGAGUUAGAAAAUGUAAUAUCAUAGCAAUAAAAACUAAAUUCUUUUGUCAUAGUUGUGUUUGCACCAAACCCAAUGGAAACAUGAUUUCGUUCAAGAACAAAGCAUCACAGAGAUAGCAUGAAGAUAAGUGAACAAGGCAGUCAUGAUAAAAUACAUUAGGUGCAGAAACAAUGGUCCAUAUUAGCAAAUAAAUAUAACAUAUCGUUACCUAGAAUUAGUUACAAAUGGUGCCCUCAGAGGAGAAGAUGAUGGCACAACAAAAGGGACUUGACAUACCACAUUAUCCAUAGUUCAUACAACCUGAAGAUUUAACAAAAUCAUGGAUUUAGAUUAUAAUGUAAUAAAGUAGUCUAAAAAAAGAGAAAUUUAACCUAGAAAUACCUCAGCAUGCGGCUCUUUAGCAUGCUCCGCCUGAUUAGAGUUGAACCUACUAUAGAACAAAUCCCAUCAAUCUACUAGAAAUUCCUCCGGAGAUUCUAUAGCUGAAACAAAUUAUAGGACUAAAUAAUUGUACAUUAUCACAUACAAUAGAUAAAAUAAUUAGUCACUAUAUUUUGCACCACCUUCGAAAAUAAUGAAUAUCAAUUAAUUAUUAAUACAAUUCUAUAAACACGAAAAGAGUUGUCGAGAAAAAAUUGACCCUCGAUAAGUUAACCACAAUAUUCAAAGAAUGACAUCAUCUAUCAUUCCCUCCAUUCUAUUUCUGUGGAUACUUUUUUAUGUUACACUCCGACACAUUUUUCUUAUUAAUUUAUCUCCCCAAAAUAUAACCUUUAUAUUUUUAAAAAUAAUUCUAACUUUAAAAUCCUCAUGUUAUUACCUUCAUGAGUUGCUAAGUCAGUUCAACUUUGCUUAUUAAUUUAUCCCCCCAAAAUAUAACCUUUAUAUAUUUAAAAAUAAUUUCAACUUGUUUGAUUUUAAGAGACUAAAUCAAUUCAGCUUCUGCAUUUAUUUAAAUUAUCUUAAUGUGUUGUUUAAUAUUGUUGAUUCAUAGGGUCAUGCCACGCCACGAGGUUAGCUUGGGAUCACUUGUGGCUUUAAGCACUAUGUCGCAACUAGGGGGUAGUCUCAGAUCUUGAUAGUAUGUAUCUGGUGUGAUUAUCAUAUAUCUGGAUCUCAGAUACAUAAGAUAGUGGUGAGCGAGUGGGAGAGAGGCGAGGGAGGUGAGCGAGAUUUAUUAUGUAUUCCAGAUACAUGCAAAUCCACAUGUAAAUAAAUGUAUCUAGAAAAAAUUACACCUUAUUUUAACCCCAUGUAUCCCAAGAUACAUGUAGUUGGGCGCACCAAAAUCUAGUAAGACAUGCAAUAUUGCAAACUAAAGUGUAUCUAUGUAAUUUGAUCCUAAACUAGUGGGAUUUAUGUAAGUUUUAAAACUUAAUUUGCAUGAAAAGACUUUCUUUUUUUCUUAAAAUGAAACCAUACAAAUGAAAGUUCUUAAAAAUAACAUGAUCAUCAAUAAAAGUAUAGCGCGAUGCAUGAAAAAAAAAAUCACCCAAAGUCUGAGAAAAGUUCGCAUCACAAAAGGAUAUGACUUAGGCAACCUAUCGUAACUCAAACAUCGGUGGAUGAUUUCAUGUCUCACCCUAAGUUACAGGUCACAUAGAGACUACUUUUAAUGAAAUGAUAAUUUGUUGUAAAUUUAAAGAAAUACUUACCAUCGCCUAUUGGAGUUCCAACAUCAACUUAUCCAACCUGAAGAACAACCAAUAAAAUCUCAUUAAUUUGAUGUAAACUAUUUUUCUCUAAAAUAUUUUCCUCAUGAAGUCCCAAUCAAAUAUUAAUUAAAAGGAAAAAAAUCAAAAUUGACCCUAUUCUGUUUUUAUUGGUCAAUUUUAUCCUUCAUUAUACCUUUGUCUACUCCUGCCUUUACAAUUAUCGAAUUGUCUCUAUUUGCUCUUAUUAUUAGUUGAGCUCGCGAUGGAUAUAAGAAAAAUGAGUUAAUACUAAAGUAUAACAUUACAUUAAGUUAGAGCUUCAUUAAGGGUUAAGAAAACGAAAACAUAGUAAGAUUAUACCAAAAAUCUUUUAACAGACAAAGUUCCUAAAUUUAGGAUAAUUAUUGGGACAAAUGAUUUUUCAACCUUUAUUAAAACAUAAAUCCAUCUAACCUAACCAUACUUUAGUUGGUUGGAUUUAAUUUUUUUCAUAGAUCAUUUUGGACAUGACAAAAGGCACCUGUAUAGAAACUAGGGUCAUUUUUAUUAGAUCUGUAGCACAAAAAUUCACAGGAAAAUAUGUCUAAACAUAAAAAAUAAAAAAAAGUAUAUAUUUUUAUUUGGUUUCUUUCAUGAUAAAUGGAAAAAAGAGAGUAUAUUUUAUAGUUUCAUUUAAAAAUUAAGAAAAUAAAACUAAAAAAGUAAAAGAAGAAUACUAAUUUGGAAUUCGACGGAUUGAGUUAUGACCUAUUAUCUAUACUUUUGACGCACCAAUUUAUUUUCCACUGAAUCCACACAGAUUGACCCCAAGUAACAAUUGGACAUGUUUUAAAUCAAUUCAACCAUAUUGAAAGAAUUCUCCAAAAGAAUAUUACCUAAGAUAAAUUUAUGCUUUACAUAAAACAAAAUUAUUUUAAAAAAAAUCUCACCUAAAAUUAUGAAAACAUAAAAGGAGAUAAUAACAUUACAAUGCCUACAUAAAUCAUUAAAAGUCAUAAAUUUUAUACUCACAACUUUUGAUGACUCUCCAUGAUAAAAAAAAAGUGAAUGGAGAAACAGAAGAAAAUGAGAGUGAAGACCAAAUGGAAGAGAAGACACAAACAAACAAACAAAAUAUAUUUUUGACUUGAGAAUAAUGAGUGAUAAAAGAGACAAUAAUGUUGGCUUUUAAUAGGUGAAUAGGAAAUGAAGAGUCGUGACUUUUACCAAGGAUUGUGUCAUUAUGAAAGGUUGUGUCUUUUCUAAGGGGGUUGUAACCGUUCUAAAAGGUUGUGCCUUUUUCAAAGAAUUGUGACCUUUCUGAAAGGUUGUGCCUUUUUCAAAGGAUUGUGUUGUGACCUCUCUGAUAAGGCACAAUUAUCACUUUUUCAUACCACCCUCUGUUAGCUACCAAUAAAGAGGUUCUCUCAUUUUUAUAAAUUCAAUUCUUCUCUUCUUUUGCAUACAUCAAUCGAUCAUGUCCGUGUGUGUGAUCUCGUUGCUGUCUUUUUGAGUUCGUUGAAACUAUUGAAGUUUGAGGUACCGCUACUUCUUUACUUCUUCUGUUUUGCAAACCCGAAUACAUGAGGUAACAAAAAAAAGGAUGCAAAAUAUAGAAAAGAAAGAAAAAAGAAGUCUACACUUUCAUUGUUAAAAUGGAAAAAAGAAAUUUAUUACAAAGUGUAUGUAAUAAAAAAAUAUGGCAUGUAAAUGAAUGAUAGGUGACAUGGACUUGAAAAGAGUUAGAAAGAAAAAAAAGACGAGUAAAAGGUUGAAAAGAGGAAAAAGAAAUCUACAAUUUCAUUGUUAAAAUGGAAAACAAUUUAUUAUAAUAGUGUGCAGCGUAAAGUAAUGGAAAAUAUUCAAUAAAAUUAAUGAUGGGUGAUUAUUUACAAACCAAAUAUUGUAUUGGUUUAAAGAGUGUGAGAAAGAAAAGAGAUGAGAAAAAAGAUGUCGAAAAAGAAAAAGAAAUCCACACUUUAUUUGUUAAAAUGGAAAAAAGAAUCAUUUUAAAGUGCGUGCAAAAAAAACGUAAGGCAAGUAAACAAUGCAGUAAAUUGAAAGAUGUGUGAUGAUUUGGCUAGUGCAUAAAGUUUAAAUAUAUGUACAAAACAUUUAAAGUAAUAAAAAGUUUCUUUUUUAUCUCCACAACUGCGAUUUUCUUUAAGAUUUCAAGUUUUUUUUCCUUUUUAAUCAAUUAGUUCACAUUACCCUUUAAUUACUUAAGAAUAUUCUUUUUAUAUAGUUCAAAAAUAAUUUAUUUGCUUCAUAUGCCUUUGACUCCUAAAAUCAUCGGCCAAUUUUAAAUAUUUUUCUUAAUAAAGAAGUGGGUGAAGUUUCAUAGAAAAAUUAUAAGGUCUUAUCUGGGAAUUGUACUUUUAAGAAAUUGAUUUAUUUUUCAAAUUUUAAAAGUUUUUGAAUUUAAAUUCUAAACUAUCUGAGAAUAUUUCUGGAGUGGAGAAUUAAUAAUUUUAUAAAAAGGAUAUGGACAAAAUCAAAAGAAGAAUAAUUUUAAUGUAUGUAAACAAAAAUCACACGAAAUAUUGUUGUUUUGAAAGAUGUACGAUCUCCUAAAAUCAUCCGGACAACAAAAAAUGGAUGUAAGAAGAAAAUAAUUAGGAAAAUAACUAACUAGCUAUGUUUAAAGUUUUAAUUAAGUUGAUACAUUUAAUUUAGCUCCUGUUAGUGUGAUAUUUCAAUAUUAAUACGCUUUGCCACAAUGUGUCCAUCGGUGGUCAUUAUAUGCCUCUUUAUUUUCAUUAAAAGAGCCUCAUUGUGUUGGAAUAAUGUCAUAUGUUAGUGGAGAAUUGAAAGUUACAAUGUUGGUCAGAUUGGUGCAUUUAGCAACCAAAGUUUAUGGGAGGAGAAAGAAAUUUAUUUCUAUUACCGUUAACUAAUUAUUUAUCCAUUAUUUUAUCUCAUUAUAUAUUGUAACUUACGAAAGUUUAGGGUUAAUCAUUUACCUACAUUAUUAUCCAUAUUCAAUACAAGGAAGAAUUCCUCGCCUAUAAAUAGUGGUCCUUCUUUCUUUGUGAAAAAAAUCCCCCCAAAACAAUGAGAAGUGUGAAAAAAAAAUUUGUAGUGAGGUUAGUGAAAGAGAUAGUCGAGAAGAGUAUUCAAAGUCUUGAUCAACUAAUUCACUAUACAAAAGAGAGAAACUAUAUGUUGAAGGAAUAUGUUCUUUCUAUGAAGUUUUGGACUCUUCAACUAUCCACAGUUGUUUGAGUUAUACAACAUUGUUGGAUAUUGUGUUCUGGAGGGGACAAGUCAAGAGUAUUACUACAGAAUCGGUGUAGAUAAUGUCAUAAUGGCUUGAAUCUCUUGUAAUAGAGCAACAUAUUCACGCCUCAGCUUGAAUGCCUUUUUUAUUCAUUUUUAUCAUUUUAUUUUCAACUAUAAUUUAUUCUUUUUGUGAUAAAUUACACCAACAGGUUCAUUAUCCGCUAUUAGUCUUUUGUUCUAUUUAGAAACAAUAUUAUCAUUUAGAAAAUGUGGAGAAUUUCUAACGUUGAGAAAAACUACAUAAUAAUUUUAAAUAUUGAAAAGACACGAAUUUAAAUGGGGAUAUGACACAUAUUUGAUUUGACAAUUGAUAAAAAUGAUCUCCAUACUACAAAUAUAACAGAAACCAACAGUAGAUAACUUAUGUCGAAACAACAAAAAAUUAUCGUCGGUCAUAUUUAACAACAAAUUAGCAAUAAUUAUGUUAGUUAAACGCCUAUUUAACAAUAGAUUUAAGUGACAAAUUUUGUAGUUAAUUUUUAUUUUUUUAUUGUAACUUUUUCGUGGAAUUGAUAUAAACCAAUUUAUUAUAAUAGUGUGCAAUUUAAUGCAAUGCAAAAUAUUCAAUAAAAUGAAUGAUGAGUGAUAAUUUACAAACCAAAAGUUGUAUUGGCUUAAAGAGAGUGAGAAAGAAAAGAGAUGAGAAAAAAGAUGCAAAAAAAACCCACAUUUCCAUUGUUAAAAUGGAAAAAAUUCAUUAUAAUGUGAGCGCUAAAAAAAGUAGUGAAAUUAAACAAUGCAGUAAAUUAAUAGAUGUGUGAUAGUUUGGUUAGUGAAUGAAUAAAAUAAAAAAUAUAUGCACAAAAACAUUCAAAGUAAUAAAAAGUCUUCUUGUUUUAUCUCCACAACUGAGAUUUUCUUUAAGAUUUAAAGUUUUUUUUCCAUUUUAAUCAAUUAGUUCAAAUUACUGUUUUUUACUUAACAAUAUUCCUUUUAUCUAUAUAGUUCAAAAAGUAAUUUAUUUUCUUCAUAUGCCUUUGACUCCUAAAGUGAGAGAGGCGAGUGAGAGAGCGAGUGAGAGAGCGAGAUCUGGGAGAGUGACGAGCGAGAUCUGGGAGAGGGGAGAGAGGGGAACGAAAAUAUAUGUAUAUAUACAAUUUUCNNNNNNNNNNNNNNNNNNNNNNNNNNNNNNNNNNNNNNNNNNNNNNNNNNNNNNNNNNNNNNNNNNNNNNNNNNNNNNNNNUUUAUACAAACACAAACGCACUUUAUACACUUGCAUUUGUAUAAAAAAUGAGAGAGGCGAAAGAGAGAACGAGAGUGGCGAGCGAGAUUCACCAGGAGAGAGGUGAAAUAGCAACAGUUUGCUAUGAGGUACAAUUAAAUCAAACUAUAUUUAUAGCAUUUAAUUUGAAUUAAUAGUUUGCUAUUAUAUACAAUUUUCCCUUCUAUUUAUCUUUUUGAAUUUUUUUUCUAUUUUUUUAAUUAUUAUUGUACAAAAAUGAAUGUGUCAAUUACUACUCCACUAAUUCAUAUUAUUUAAUAUAAAAACUUAAUUGUCUUUAUUUUCAUUACUCCCAUGACUUUUGAUAAUCGUGACUCCUAAUUUAUAUUAAUAGAGUCAUAUUCAUGAUAUCUUUUGGUAUUCCAUAUUAUGUCCUAUAAAUAGAGGCAUUAGAAAAUUUUGUUACAAAAUAAAUGAUCAAAUUUAUAUGUAUAGUUGAGCUAGGGAUUAACUAGGUGAAACUUGCACAUCUUUUUGACCAAGAAUCACAAAUUUUCUUGUAGCUUAAUAAAAUAGCAUUUUAUAGCUUAUAUAUUGCUUUCAAUUUUUUUUUACUUAUAUGAAAUUUAAUUGUUUUAUUGCAGGUGUCCUUUUUUUAAAUGGGAAAUAUGAUAUUAAACUGAUCAAAUUUCAUUCUGGCAAUUUACUGAAAAAAUUUAAACAAGCUCCCCCAAGAUUAUUGGCGAAAAGGUAUAAUUAUUUUUCUUUUUUAUUUACAUGUAAGUCGAAUUUUUUAUUACUUGAAUUUUAUUGAAAGAAAUUGGCAAGAGUUUCAAGUAAUGCAAAAUUUUAUAUCAAAAACUCGGUGUCAAAUUGAUAAAAAAGUCAUUUUAAAGUAAAACUUAAUGGUCUUUAUUUUCAUUAAUCCCAUAACUUUUUUAUUAUCAUAACCUCUAAAAUAAUUAAUAGUCAUAUUCAUGAUAUUAUUUGGUAUUCUAGAUUAUAGUCCUAUAAAUAGUGAUAUUGUAAGACUUUGUUGAAAUGACCACAUUGACAUUAUAAAUUGUCAUGUUUUUAGUGUUUAUUAUAUUGAUGCAUUGGUUCUUGUAGAAUUAGAUAAAGAUUAUUGUAUGGUGAUUGUGACUUGUGGAAGUUGAUAUCAACAAGAGCUCGGAAGAUUGUACAUUAAUUUCAUAAUUUUUUUUAAUGUUCUAAUAAUUAAGAUCGUAAAAAUGAUAUUGUAUUAUUUAUAAAUUUUAGUUCUCUCAUGAUUUCUUUUUGUUUUGUAUUUUAUAUAAAGUUUUGAUUGGCGUAAAUUUAUAAUUUCAUUUGUUCAACAUAGUAAAUUGUGACUUUGUUGGACAUAAUUAUCUCCUCUUCUUCUUUUUUUGGUUGUUUAGUUCCUCAGAAAUGUCUAAAUAUAAUUUUUUUCCAUGAAUUUUCAAUUAUAAAUACUUCAUUACAAAUUUUAAAGAACACUAAAAUCUACACAAUAAUGUCUUGAGUCUUUUGAGUUUUUCAUCUUUAUUGUAAUCAUUGACUAAGAAUUAUGUUUCUAUUCUAAUUUUUCUUUUACAAUUUCUCUAUUUUUUAUUGUAGAAUAAUAAAUAUGUCAAUUAAGUAUUCAUUUAUACUCUUUAUUACAAAACUUAAUGGUCAUUAUUUUCAUUACUCCCAUAAUUUUAUUAUCAUAAUCUCUAAAUAAUUAAUAGUCAUAUUCUUGACAUUAUUUGUUAUUCAUAUUAUUGUCCUAUAAAUAAAAGUAUUGUAAUACUUUGGACAAAUGAUCUGUAACAGCCUGGAAAAUUUUUUGAGCUAAGACUCAAACCAUUCUUCGUAGUGAGUAAGAUUUUACGAAGGAAUUUAAAAUUUUCUUAAGUUUUAGGGUCACUAGAUCUAGCACCUUGAGUUCCAAAAAGAACUAAAGAGAAUUCCUUCAAGUAAUUCCUAGGUUCUUUUAAGUUUUGGGUCAACUUUAAACGACCAUAACUUUAGGCAUAGGAUGAGUUAGGAGACCCAUAAGAUAUCAAAUGAAAGAUCUUGGAAUCCUCUUUCCAACGCCGCCAAGUUUGCUAAUUUUUGAGCUCAUAUAAUGGAAAUAUGCCCAUUUGAAAUCAGACUGUCCAAUUAAGGAAAGUUACCCAAAAAUAUGAGGGGUAUUUUGGUCCUUUCCUUACCCAAUCGGAUUUAAACGUUUUUAGUAAGGUUUUAGGAGUCUAAACUGAUUAGAAUCAGUUUUAGUUGUUCCUAAAAUACGCUUAGGGUUUUUAGAGGAGUUCAAGAAGAGGAGAAAAGGAAUAACGUUCAAGAUUUUUGCGAUUCUUCGAGGGAUUUCGCCAAGGAUUUUAUCCUAAGAGGUAUGUAAGCUUCCAUAGUGUUGGGUUCGUUCACCCACACACCAAUCAUGAGUUUAUUUUUGUAACACCCCAGAAACUAUUAGGCUUAACUAGAGCUUGUCAUAAGUGUUAGAGUCAUAAAAAUUACUCCUCGUACUAAGAAUGAAGGGUUUAAGGGUUAGAGGUCAAGGUACGACCCCACAAGGACCAACCAAGGUCCUUGAGGAGGACCCUAGAACUCCCCUUAAAACAUCCCAAAUAGUGACCCACGGAUGGUGACCUACGGGGAGUAGGUCCAUCCACGUCUCGUGGGUGAGAUCCGUAGCUCAAGCCCAAUUUCAUCAAGCCACAGAUCAUGAACCACGCCCAACCAGGACGGGCCGUGGUCCCACCCACAGUCUGUGGGUCAUGGGUCGUGGGUCAUGCCUACAAGCUAUCCCAAAGUCGGUUGAAAGGAGGGGUCUUUAGGUAAUUUCCUUUUUAGUUAGUAUGAUGUGAGGUCAUUUUGUAUUGUUUUUAUUCACCUAUAUAAGUCUUUUUAAGUCAUUAACCAACCCAUUCACUUCAUAAAUUCCCAAAACCCAAAUACAUAACCAACUUUACCCAAAAUAAACUCUCUCUAGAACUCCAAGGAAGAAGAAGAAGAAAGGUGAAGCUAGGGUUGAAGAAUCAAGAUUUUCUCCUCAAAUUCAUGGGAAUUCUUCAAUCAGGUAUGGUAGCUCUUCAUCCAUGGGUAGCCUUCACCCAUGGAGCCCAUCAAAACCCCCAAUUUCGAAGCUAGAAAACCCAAAAGCUAGGGUUUGACUUCAAUCUCAUGGAUUCCUUUCAAAUUCAUUUUUAAUGAUUGAAUUAUGUUUUUUUAUGGAUAUAUUGAUGAUUCUAUAUGAUUUUAAGUUUAAUUCCUCAAGAAUCCAUGAAUUCCCCUAUUUUCCCAAAUUGGAUCUUAAAGUGUGGGUAUUGAUUAAUGCAAGUAGAAUGUUAUAGAAUUAUGAAUGUUAUGAAUUGAUUACUUGAUUUAUGUUAUCAUCCAUGUCUAAUGUAUUAAUUCUAGAUGUGUUGAUGAAUUAUGAUCCGUGGUCCUUGAAGGGCAAAGUAUGAGAAUUAUGCAUUAUUAUGAGAUUUAUGUAUGUGCUUUAAGGACACUUUGAGAGUAAAGUGAAUAUGACUAUGAUCUAAUUGUUGUGUUGUUGGAUGAUUAUACUAAUUGUCACACCCCUUUUCGCGCAUAGCGGCGGAAGGGUUUUUUCAAUUUAAGUGACGGUAUUGAUUUAGGGAUUAUUUUAUUUUCGUUUCAGAGUCGCCACUUGAAAUUGAGUUAUGGUGUUCCAAGUCACCUUUUCAAAUCCCUAAUCAAUAAGAAAUGACUCUUUUAGUUUUGGUCUACGAACUAGAUAUUCGGGUAAGGAAUUCUGUUGACCGAGGGGAAGGUAUUAGGCAUCCCUCGAGUCCCGUGGUUCUAGCACGGUCGCUUUUAUUGACUNNNNNNNNNNNNNNNNNNNNNNNNNNNNNNNNNNNNNNNNNNNNNNNNNNNNNNNNNNNNNNNNNNNNNNNNNNNNNNNNNNNNNNNNNNNNNNNNNNNNNNNNNNNNNNNNNNNNNNNNNNNNNNNNNNNNNNNNNNNNNNNNNNNNNNNNNNNNNNNNNNNNNNNNNNNNNNNNNNNNNNNNNNNNNNNNNNNNNNNNNNNNNNNNNNNNNNNNNNNNNNNNNNNNNNNNNNNNNNNNNNNNNNNNNNNNNNNNNNNNNNNNNNNNNNNNNNNNNNNNNNNNNNNNNNNNNNNNNNNNNNNNNNNNNNNNNNNNNNNGUGCAUAAAACUCAUCUAGUAUUAAAAGUACUUACUCUUAUUUUUCUGAAUUCUAGACAACUAAUCUUCUCAUUUCAUUAUUAUAUUUAUUGAUGAUACUUUUAAUUAAAUUAAUCCACAUGUUAAAAUAUAUAUUAGAAUAAUUUUAUCAAGGUGUGUCACCACAUCCUUGAAUUUCUUUUAAGUGUUUCAAAAAAGAUGUGUAACCACAUUCUUAAUUGAAACAAAUAUUAUUAUAUUUUACAUGCCUAAUACCCCUCUAAUGUUAUAAGAAAAUAUUAAAUAAAAUCAAAUAAAACAAAACAAAUCAAAACUUCUAGGAUACAAUAUAAAUUUUGGAUUAUCUUAUAUUCUUUUAUUUUUAUUCACCCUUAAAGUUAAUGUUAAAAUUAGGCCUACACAUGUUACAUUUUUAUUUUUAUUUUAUCUUGAAGUUAAUGGCGAAAUUAGGCAUACUCAUAUUGUACUGUUUUAUUAAUCCAACCAAAACAAUGACGAAUUGCUAAAAUAAAUCUCAUUCUUUAUUUAAUAAAUAAAACAACAAUAAUUUUGUGAACCCAAUAAUUCCUACUUUAUCAUUAUUAGCAUCGAAAUCAAGAAAUGAACAACAUCAUGACCCAUUCAUUUUAAGACAUCACAACUAAUGAACGAAAAUAGAUAAAUAAAAAUAACCACCAAUAAAGUUACUUUCAUUCAUUAAAGAGAUAUAACACUUAACACAUUCUUCAUUUUAAUCAAAUUAUGAAUAAAAUAAAAGUGUAAGAAAACUUAUCAUAAUAAUUACAUCAAAUUCCAUGAAUAAAUUAAAUAAGAAGAUAAAGUAAAGUUGAAUACCGCAAAAUCUUAACCGAAGCUCGAUUAGAACACCCACAACUUUUGUAGGUUGUUUGUGAUGGUAUAUGUGUUUGUGUUGAUAUGAAAAAAAUGGGUAAGGAAGAAAAGAUGUGAAUG
Molecule: long non-coding RNA, 14084 nt
Filed under: Solanum tuberosum (potato)
Lineage: Eukaryota; Viridiplantae; Streptophyta; Magnoliopsida; Solanales; Solanaceae
Description: long non-coding RNA (STUB_LNC006297)
Source: RNAcentral